Molecule: long non-coding RNA, 1549 nt
Organism: Astyanax mexicanus (Mexican tetra)
Lineage: Eukaryota; Metazoa; Chordata; Actinopteri; Characiformes; Acestrorhamphidae
Exons: 2
Source: RefSeq, a predicted model, not a curated record
UCAUGGGUAAAUUGGAGCAGCCUGGUGUUCAAUCUUCAUUAAUUGCACAUUAUUGCACCAGUAAGAGCAGAGUGUGGAGGUUCAAUUAGCAGGGUAAGAGCACAGUUCUGCUCUAAAUAUUGCAAUGCACACAACAUUAUGGGAGACAUACCAGAGUUCAAAAGAGGACAAAUUGUUGCUGCACGUCUUGCUGGAGCAUCUGUGACCAAGACAGCAAGUCUUUGUGAUGCAUCAAGAGCCACGGUAUCCAGGGUAAUGUCAGCAUACCACCAAGAAGAACCAACCACAUCCAACAGGAUUAACUGUGGACGCUGUAAGAGGAAGCUGUCUGAAAGGGAUGUUCGGGUGCUAACCCGGAUUGUAUCCAAAAAACAUAAAACCACGGCUGAUCAAAUCACGCAGAAUUCAAUGUGCACCUCAACUCUCCUGUUUCCACCAGAACUGUCCGUCACCACAAUCAAUUAUUGUGCUCUAAAACCAGGUGUUUCAGUUUCAUUGUCCAACCCCUGUAUAUGACCCAUACAUGAUCUGGGUGCAGCUUUAUGGUGAGACGUUUGCAAAACAACAAGCAAAAAAAAUCCAAAAGUACAGUUUUCUGCUUACAUCAGAACUUACUCAAUUCACCUUGCGCAGAUCUCCUUAUCAAGAGGACCUUUCCAGAGUAGCAACAAAAGCAGCAAGCUGAUUGGCUCUUUAUGUUGAAGGGCGGGACUUUAUCCUUAAACAGGUUUUCUUAUUUUCUAAUAUAUAACUCUGAAAAAAAAUAAGGGACCACCUAAAAAUUUAUUUUACCAAAUUGAAAACCUCUGGAAUAUAAUCAAGAGGAAGAUGGAUGAUCACAAUCCAUCAAACCACCAAACUGAACUGCUUGAAUUUUUGCACCAGGAGUAAAGCAGCAUAAAGUUAUCCAAAAGCAGUGUGUAAGACUGGUGGAGGAGAACAUGAUACCAAGAUGCAUGAAGAAAACUGUGAUUAAAAACCACAGUUAUUCCACCAAAUACUGAUUUCUGAAUUCUUAAAACUUUAUGGAAAUUAACUUGUUUUUUUGCAUUAUUUGAGGUCUGAAAGUUCUGUGUAUUUUUUGUUAUUUCAGCCAUUUCUCAUUUUCUACAAAAAAUGCUCUAAAAAAAUAUUUUUAUUUGGAAUUUGGGAGAAAUGUUGUCUGUAGUUUAUAGAAUAAAACAACAAUGUUCAUUUUACUCAAACAUAAACCUAUAAAUAGCAAAAUCAGAGAAACUGAUUCAGAAAAUGAAGUGAUCUCUUCAUUUUUACCAGAGCUGUAUAUAACCCAGUGUACUGUAUGUAAAGCUGACUCAUGAAUUAAUGUCUUGUCUUGAAUGAGGUACACUUGACAUUGUUCCUGCAUUGUUGGACUAGUGAAGUUAAAUUCAUUAUUUUGCUAUACUAUUUGGGUGACAUUGUAUAAAGUUAUACCUUACUAUUGCAUUAUGUAAAAUAGAAAACUGUUUAAUGUAUAUAGACUGUCUCACAAUGUGUCUGUUCAAUUUGUUGUGGUGAUUUUUUUAAUAAACAUGAUAAAUAGGGGAAA